GGGGAUGUGGUCUAAUGGUAAGAUUCUGUUCAGAUGCAUCGGCCAAAGGCCACUCGCGUUGGGGCAGAGACGUCGGUUCGAUUCCGGACUUCUCCA
This 96-nucleotide transfer RNA is filed under the name Zymoseptoria brevis. It matches the Rfam family "tRNA". From Rfam's summary of the family: Transfer RNA (tRNA) molecules are approximately 80 nucleotides in length. Their secondary structure includes four short double-helical elements and three loops (D, anti-codon, and T loops). The record is from Rfam by way of RNAcentral. Lineage: Eukaryota; Fungi; Ascomycota; Dothideomycetes; Mycosphaerellales; Mycosphaerellaceae.